GCAGUUCGGCGGCGGAGGUGGAAGCGGCGCUGGAGCGGCGGGAGCCGGGGCGAGAUCGGCGGUGAGCUGGGGCGGGACUCCCGCGGCUGCCGCUCCCGACGUGCAGCCCCGGGCUGCAGAGAUACCCAGGAGCAGAUUUAGGCAGAGGCAGCAGAAAGCUGAGGCAGAGGCAGCAGAAAGCUGAGGCAGAGGCAGCAGAAAGCUGAGAACCUGGAGCUGAGGCAGCAGAGCUGGUGGAGACAUAAAGACGGACAGGGAAAAUCGUUGACUUGGGUCCAGCAAUGCCAAAUGUGUUGGGGUGUGAGCAGCCAAAGCAACAAGCUCCAGCCCCACCGACCGGCGCUGGGGGCUCCUGGUGCUGCCCGUGGGGUGGGGAGACCAGGAGUGAGAGGAAACGCAGUGCCAGAGCAGGCUGUGUUUGCCUCUGAGGACAGAGAGCCUGUGGGCUGAGAGGAAAAAUGAUUGGUAAUUGCUUCUGAUCUGUGGAGAAUCUCCUUUGGAAUGAUCAAGCAGAGAGCGUACCAAGAAAGCAGCAAAUAUAUCCUGAUAAGCCCUGAAUAUGCCAGGAGGUUUCAGCCGGGAGAAAGGAGCUGUGGAAGAAAAGCAGCCUAAAAAUAGCCAGCGGGGAUCAUCAGGUUUUCCAGCCAAGAAGAAUAAGGAGAGAGAUGAGGGAAUCAGGUUCCAAUUCCUAAUGAUUUGGUGGGUGUAGGAAUGAUUUGUGUGUGUUUUCCAGUCCCUUUUGAUUCCUGAGAUGAUUUUAAAAUGAUGGCUUUAGCAAUCAACUAAAUCGGAGAUGUUGUUUUUGAGAGGAAAUGAUGCCAAAUAAA
Long non-coding RNA from Pseudopipra pipra, 827 nucleotides. RefSeq lists it as uncharacterized. Lineage: Eukaryota; Metazoa; Chordata; Aves; Passeriformes; Pipridae. The transcript is spliced from 6 exons. The record is from RefSeq and is a predicted model, not a curated record.